CAAUAGCGUAUAUUAAAGUUGUUGCAGUUAAAAAGCUCGUAGUUGGAUUUCUGAUCGAGACAUCAGGUCGGGUCCGAGAGGAUCAUGUACUUUGAUUUGUUUUGAUCAUCCUUGGGGAGAGCAUUUCUGGCAUUCAGUUGUCGGGAUUGGGAUCCUCAUCGUUUACUGUGAAAAAAUUAGAGUGUUCAAAGCAGGCCUCGGCCUCUGAAUACAUUAGCAUGGAAUAAUAAGAUAGGACUUUGGUGGUCUAUUUUGUUGGUUUGCACGCCAAAGUAAUGAUUAAUAGGGAUAGUUGGGGGUAUUCGUAUUCAAUUGUCAGAGGUGAAAUUCUUGGAUUUAUGGAAGACGAACUACUGCGAAAGCAUUUACCAAGGAUGUUUUCAUUAA
This 387-nucleotide ribosomal RNA is filed under the name uncultured eukaryote. RNAcentral describes it as "partial 18S ribosomal RNA". It matches the Rfam family "Eukaryotic small subunit ribosomal RNA", at positions 592 to 976 of the family's 1831-position model. The record is from RNAcentral.